AUUGAACGCUGGCGGCAGGCCUAACACAUGCAAGUCGAGCGGUAGAGAGAAGCUUGCUUCUCUUGAGAGCGGCGGACGGGUGAGUAAUGCCUAGGAAUCUGCCUAGUGGUGGGGGAUAACGUUCGGAAACGGACGCUAAUACCGCAUACGUCCUACGGGAGAAAGCGGGGGAUCUUCGGACCUCGCGCCAUUAGAUGAGCCUAGGUCGGAUUAGCUAGUUGGUGAGGUAAUGGCUCACCAAGGCGACGAUCCGUAACUGGUCUGAGAGGAUGAUCAGUCACACUGGAACUGAGACACGGUCCAGACUCCUACGGGAGGCAGCAGUGGGGGAAUAUUGGACAAUGGGCGAAAGCCUGAUCCAGCCAUGCCGCGUGUGUGAAGAAGGUCUUCGGAUUGUAAAGCAC
RNAcentral lists this ribosomal RNA (404 nucleotides) under uncultured bacterium. RNAcentral's name for it is "bacterial SSU rRNA". It matches the Rfam family "Bacterial small subunit ribosomal RNA", at positions 30 to 433 of the family's 1533-position model. The record is from RNAcentral.